AUACUUACCUGGACGGGGUUAUUGGGCGAUCCUUAAGGCCUAUGGCCUAGGUCAGUGACCUCCAUUGCACCUUGGAGGGGUGCUAGCUUAAGGUCUCCCCAAGUUGGGAGAGCCUACGUCAUAAUUUGUGCUAGGGGGGAUUGCGUUCGCGCAGCCCUCA
Mercurialis annua (annual mercury) is the source of this 160-nucleotide small nuclear RNA. RefSeq annotates it as U1 spliceosomal RNA. The record is from RefSeq and is a predicted model, not a curated record. NCBI's taxonomy places the organism in Eukaryota, Viridiplantae, Streptophyta, Magnoliopsida, Malpighiales, Euphorbiaceae. The transcript has a single exon.